UGACUUGUCGCUGACGAGUGGCGGACGGGUGAGUAAUGCUUGGGAACCGACCCAGUAGUGGGGGACAACACGGGGAAACUCGUGCUAAUACCGCAUACGUCCUACGGGAGAAAGUGGGGGAUCUUCGGACCUCACGCUAUUGGAUGAGCCCAAGUCGGAUUAGCUUGUUGGUGGGGUAACGGCCUACCAAGGCGACGAUCCGUAGCUGGUCUGAGAGGACGAUCAGCCACACUGGGACUGAGACACGGCCCAGACUCCUACGGGAGGCAGCAGUGGGGAAUAUUGGACAAUGGGCGCAAGCCUGAUCCAGCAAUGCCGCGUGUGUGAAGAAGGCCUGCGGGUUGUAAAGCACUUUCAGUAGAGAAGAAAAGCCUCGGGUUAAUACCCCGGAGUCUUGACGUAACCUACAGAAGAAGCACCGGCUAACUCCGUGCCAGCAGCCGCGGUAAUACGGAGGGUGCGAGCGUUAAUCGGAAUUACUGGGCGUAAAGCGCGCGUAGGCGGCUAGGUCAGUCGGAUGUGAAAGCCCCGGGCUUAACCUGGGAAUUGCACCCGAUACUGCCUGACUAGAAUAUGGGAGAGGGAAGUGGAAUUUCCGGUGUAGCGGUGAAAUGCGUAGAUAUCGGAAGGAACACCAGUGGCGAAGGCGACUUCCUGGCCCAAUAUUGACGCUGAGGUGCGAAAGCGUGGGGUAGCGAACAGGAUUAGAUACCCUGGUAGUCCACGCCGUAAACGAUGAGAACUAGAUGUCGGGAGGGUUUACCUUUCGGUGUCGCAGCUAACGCGUUAAGUUCUCCGCCUGGGGAGUACGGUGGCAACACUAAAACUCAAAGGAAUUGACGGGGACCCGCACAA
Molecule: ribosomal RNA, 855 nt
Filed under: uncultured bacterium
Lineage: Bacteria
Description: bacterial SSU rRNA
Rfam family: Bacterial small subunit ribosomal RNA
Source: RNAcentral